Molecule: transfer RNA, 73 nt
Organism: Taphrina deformans PYCC 5710
Lineage: Eukaryota; Fungi; Ascomycota; Taphrinomycetes; Taphrinales; Taphrinaceae
Rfam family: tRNA
About the family: Transfer RNA (tRNA) molecules are approximately 80 nucleotides in length.
Source: Rfam
GGGGUUGUGGCUCAGUUGGUAGAGCGCUUGCUUAGCGUGCAUGAGGUCCAGCGUUCAAUUCGCUGCUGCUCCA